RNAcentral lists this ribosomal RNA (514 nucleotides) under uncultured bacterium. Its description in RNAcentral is "partial 16S ribosomal RNA". It matches the Rfam family "Bacterial small subunit ribosomal RNA", at positions 28 to 523 of the family's 1533-position model. The record is from RNAcentral.
GAUGAACGCUGGCGGCGUGCCUAAUACAUGCAAGUCGAGCGAACUGAUUAGAAGCUUGCUUCUAUGACGUUAGCGGCGGACGGGUGAGUAACACGUGGGCAACCUGCCUGUAAGACUGGGAUAACUUCGGGAAACCGAAGCUAAUACCGGAUAGGAUCUUCUCCUUCAUGGGAGAUGAUUGAAAGAUGGUUUCGGCUAUCACUUACAGAUGGGCCCGCGGUGCAUUAGCUAGUUGGUGAGGUAACGGCUCACCAAGGCAACGAUGCAUAGCCGAACUGAGAGGGUGAUCGGCCACACUGGGACUGAGACACGGCCCAGACUCCUACGGGAGGCAGCAGUAGGGAAUCUUCCGCAAUGGACGAAAGUCUGACGGAGCAACGCCGCGUGAGUGAUGAAGGCUUUCGGGUCGUAAAACUCUGUUGUUAGGGAAGAACAAGUACGAGAGUAACUGCUCGUACCUUGACGGUACCUAACCAGAAAGCCACGGCUAACUACGUGCCAGCAGCCGCCGUAA